GAGCACGUAGGUGGGUUUAGUAAGUCAGAUGUGAAAGCCUCCUGUUCAACGGGAGAAUUGCAUCUGAAACUACUGAUCUUGAGUGUAGGAGGGGAGAAUGGAACUUCUGGUGGAGCGGUGAAAUGCGUAGAUAUCAGAAGGAACGCCGGCGGCGAAAGCGAUUCUCUGGCCUAUUACUGACACUCAGUGUGCGAAAGCAAGGGGAGCAAACGGGAUUAGAUACCCCGGAAGUCCUAGCCGUAAACGAUGGGCACUAAGUAGAGGGGUUU
This 269-nucleotide ribosomal RNA is filed under the name uncultured Planctomycetota bacterium. RNAcentral's name for it is "uncultured planctomycete partial 16S ribosomal RNA". It matches the Rfam family "Bacterial small subunit ribosomal RNA", at positions 565 to 831 of the family's 1533-position model. Lineage: Bacteria; Pseudomonadati; Planctomycetota. The record is from RNAcentral.